GAUCUUAACACUUGUCUAAAAUUCUCACUCAUAGAGAUAUAUCAAUUAGUAUGUAAAAAAUAAACAUUAAGGAUACAGAUUAAACUAUAUUUGGAAUGCAAUAGGAAAGAAAGGAGCAGCAAUUAGCCUAUAUACAAAUAUCACAAACAAUAAGCAUAAAAUGCAGCACAUAAAUAUAAUCAAUUUCCCGAGGCUUUGUAUGCAAUCAGACGAUUUUAUAGGAACAUGGAGCUGAAUAGCA
This 241-nucleotide unclassified non-coding RNA is filed under the name Hevea brasiliensis (rubber tree). Lineage: Eukaryota; Viridiplantae; Streptophyta; Magnoliopsida; Malpighiales; Euphorbiaceae. The record is from RNAcentral.